AUAGUACUCCCUCCGUCCUAAAAUUUUUGUCUUAGAUUUGUCUAGAUAUAAAUGUAUCAAGUCACGUUUUAGUAUUAGAUACAUCCGUAUCUAGACAAAUGUAAGACAAGAAUUUUGGGACGGAGAGAGUAUAUU
Non-coding RNA from Triticum aestivum (bread wheat), 135 nucleotides. NCBI's taxonomy places the organism in Eukaryota, Viridiplantae, Streptophyta, Magnoliopsida, Poales, Poaceae. The record is from Rfam.